UGGCAUCUUGCAGGAACAACACCAGGAUAGAGCAGAUGCCCAUGUCUCAUUGUGCUGCCUCCAAGAACUUACCAGAAGAAAGGGAGACACACUCCCACACAGCUGAGCAGCCCAGUGUUCCCCAGACUCCAGCAGCAGCCGAGGAGGGCCCCCCCCUGCACACAGACCUGUCCUACUACUCCUACGAGUACGACCCCGACGCCUUCGCCGUGGAGGGCGACGUGUUCGAGGUGGUGGCAGAGCUGAGCACGGCCAGCACCUUCAGGGAAGGGGACAGCAGCCAGGCCGAGGUCACCCCGGCAGAAUGAAAUACAUAACUUAAAUAAAGAGGCUCAGAAUCGACUCCUGUAUGAGUUUGUUCCUCCAGACGACCUGCUGCAGAACAGAAUCUGAAUGAUGACUACUUCCUGAUGCCCUCAGAACUGUAGGCUUUGCUGCCCCAUGGGGCAGAUUUGGAGCUCUAAGGGGGACACUCAGCGUUAUUUUUCUGUCCAUUUUCCUGCCUUCUUGUGCAUCCUCUUUGGAGCCCUUCCAGUGAUGAGAGACCAAUAUGCUGUGCCCUCUAGGUGAGAAAAAUAGGGGCUGGAAUUCAAACCUAUACAGCAUUUCCAAGUGUUUUCUCUGCUAUCAGGUUAUUCUGCAAAUGCCAUUUCCUAGCUACACUUAGAAGCUAAGUCCAGGCCUUGUGCUUAGCUAAACUGCUGUUCGAGGAAAGAUGGCUGAGAAGUAUUUUGCUCAAAUUAUAAUAAUAAAAAUCAGUGUGUUUUUCCAAUUGUGACAUAGCAAGAGGCUACUCAUCUUCACCAGUGCAUCAGUCUGCACCCAUGAGAGAAACACUUCCCUGUGGCUCCAUAAUUCAGGGAAGCUCUUGGGAG
Molecule: long non-coding RNA, 875 nt
Filed under: Taeniopygia guttata (zebra finch)
Lineage: Eukaryota; Metazoa; Chordata; Aves; Passeriformes; Estrildidae
Description: lncRNA (ENSTGUG00000019216.1)
Source: RNAcentral